Molecule: long non-coding RNA, 1048 nt
Organism: Apis laboriosa (Himalayan honeybee)
Lineage: Eukaryota; Metazoa; Arthropoda; Insecta; Hymenoptera; Apidae
Exons: 3
Source: RefSeq, a predicted model, not a curated record
UUAGGAUAGUGAUCUAAGAUUGGAAGUUGAAAUAUUUUCGAAGCUAUUAAUUAUUUUUAGUUUAUAUACAUAUAAUUAUUAUUUUAACUAUUUCAAUGUGAGAUUAUAUUUAUAAAUUAAACUAUCGUUACAAAUCGUAAUUAGCCUACACAUAUUGAUGAGAAAUAAAAGGUUAGAAUUCUACGCUGAUACAUCGAAAGUUUAAGUACAAAUUAUUAAAAUAAAUAAACCAUAAGAACAAAAUGGAUGGAAAGUUCCUGAUUCGAACUCAUACAAUUUUUAGAGGAAUAAUUUUGUAGCAGUGAUAUUGACGUUCAACAUGUCCUUUCGAACAAAAUUGAAAUGAAAAACUUUAAAAAAAGCUACAUCUAGUCCGCAACUAAGAGACCAAUCAAUUCGUAAAUAAAACAAAAUGGUACUCGUUACUUUAAAAAAAUGCAAAACCGAUAAAAACUCUGGAUCGAUUUAUCGAUAGAAAAUUUUCCGAAAUAAGAGAAUUUCGAUUGGAAAUUUUGAUCAAAGGAUGGUGUGCUCGAGCAGAAUCGUCGAAUUAAUAAACUUGAACAUAAUGAUGCUUGGACAUUGUUCAAAGACGAAAGAAAACGGAUGAUGAAAAAUUCAUAUACUUUGCCACGGUGUAUAGUGCAAAGAGCAGUUGAACAGUUUCCACCGUUUCUCGCAUGCAAAUCCGAUUCCACGAAUUCAGACCUGGUCUUCUGACGCUUCUGGUGGCAACUAUGCGGUCGAAAUUACUAUUAAAGAGCACGUCGAAGACACCGACAGCCGUUUUAACUCAAUUAACUCAAUGUUUUGAAAAUUUUGAUCCGAUUGAUAAUUGAUUGAUUGAAACUUGUGCAGAUUUGCUUGUUUGCAUUGGAAAUAAUUUGGUGUAUUGGAUGUUAUUAGAAUAGAUACAUGAUCAUUGCUCGUAUUUUUGCUUUAAAAAAAAAACCUUUUGAACUUCUGAUGGGAUAUCGAUAAUUUAAUAUUAAUAUAAACGAUAGUCUUAUAUUAUUGAUGAAAAAAAUAAAUAAAUAAAAUAAAAAAU